This 461-nucleotide ribosomal RNA is filed under the name uncultured Desulfuromonadales bacterium. RNAcentral describes it as "bacterial SSU rRNA". It matches the Rfam family "Bacterial small subunit ribosomal RNA", at positions 100 to 540 of the family's 1533-position model. Lineage: Bacteria; Pseudomonadati; Thermodesulfobacteriota; Desulfuromonadia; Desulfuromonadales. The record is from RNAcentral.
CACGGGUGAGUAACGCGUGGAUAAUCUGCCCUGUGAUCUGGGAUAACACUUCGAAAGGGGUGCUAAUACCGGAUAAGACCACGGAGUCUUAGGACUCUGCGGUAAAAGGUGGGGACCUUCGGGCCUACCGUCAUCGGAUGAGUCCGCGUACCAUUAGCUAGUUGGUAGGGUAAGAGCCUACCAAGGCGACGAUGGUUAGCUGGUCUGAGAGGAUGAUCAGCCACACUGGAACUGAGACACGGUCCAGACUCCUACGGGAGGCAGCAGUGGGGAAUUUUGCGCAAUGGGGGAAACCCUGACGCAGCAACGCCGCGUGAGUGAUGAAGGCCUUCGGGUCGUAAAGCUCUGUCAGAGGGGAAGAAGUGUGCGGGUGCUAAUAUCAUCUGCGCUUGACGGUACCCUCAAAGGAAGCACCGGCUAACUCCGUGCCAGCAGCCGCGGUAAUACGGAGGGUGCGAGCG